GGUCCCGCUAGCCGGCUGGGGUUUUCUUCCCUAGCAGGGCCGGCCUAGAAACUCAUAUUUUAUUCAUGAAAAUCGAGGCCUUGGGAGGCCUUGGCGUAAACAGGAUGUAAAUAUUUGCGGGCAGUGAGGAGCGGUGGUGUAGAUCGGGGGCUGUCCAGAGCGGGACAUCCAGGACAAAGCUAAGUGGAGACCCGCCCACCCCCCUUCCCGUCCCAGCACUGGAGGACUGAUGGGUGAGGGCUCGGGCCUGGAGAGCAGUGGGGCUGGGACCCCAGGGUCUUUAAAUGGAGUCAGGUGACACUUCACCUUGCACGAAUUCCAUUCCCCUGAUCCAUGGGGGUCCCUUUGUUCCCGGCCCCCUAGAUUUAAACCUAGAAGCGGAGCACUGGAGGCUGAGGCAGGAGGAUCUUGAGUUUAAGGCUUCACGCUUCUGGAACCCACACUGGCUCCGUAACCAGGGCCUGGCCUCGGCUACAAGAAGCUGUCCCUUCUGCCCACACCAGGGUCUCAGAUUUGUGGUUUUAACAAUGUCCCAUCCUCCUGCCUCAGCUUUCUGCAGUGCAGAGAUUACAGUGUUUGCCAACCAUUCCUGUUUUUCUUUACUUUGGGACUUUCGUACUCACUAAAUGAUGAAGUUGCAACCCUGCUGACAGCCUCCCAGGGUGAUAGAAUGGCAGGUCUGUGUGUCCGGCUCAUUUGUGCCCUGAUGCUGUCUCAGUUUGCAAACUUAGGCCUUCUGGUUCCACUCCUCACCUAACAGCCCCGGGGGCCCAGUGAACUGCAGUGUGGCUGCUGCAUCUGAACUGCAGCUAUGAUUUGUCCAAGUUGGGCCCAGUGCUGAGUCCUGAAGGAAGAAAAAUAUUCCUACCCAGAGGAGUCACAGCCUUCCAGGAAUCGGCACCCUCGGGGCUUACCCAAGACUGCGGUGAGCCAGAGCUGCAGGAGCAGACAGGCAGGGACUGAGCCCUGUGCUAGGAGAGCUGAGAUUUGGUACCCAUCCAGACAGGAGCCUGACUGCACCACCCAGCAGCUCUCCCAGAGGCUAGAAGCAGCAGGCAGGUGUGGCUGAGGUUGCCACUGGAAUUUAGUCACCCACUCGCAAUUGAUCGGUGUGACAGUUUUCAUUAUGGAAUUUCUUAGCUUGCUAGGUGUGGUGCACACACCUGCAUCCCCCACACUCAGGAGGAUGGUCAGGAUUUGGGGACCAGUCUGGGCUACACAGUAAGUUCAAGGCCACCUGAUCUACAUACCCACACUGAGUCUAAAUAAAUAUUUGCUGAGCAUGGUGGUUUAUCCCUGUAAUGCCAACUACUUGAGAGGCUGAGGCAGAAAGAUUGCAAAUUUGAGUCCAGCCUGGGCAACAGAACAAGUCUCUUUAACUCUGGGACAGGACCUCAGUUGCUCAGGUCUUGAACUUGCAAACCUCCUAUCCUGGCCUCUCAGGUAGCCAGGAUACCAGCAGCAUUUCGAAUCUUAAUUUGUCAAAUAUAUAAAGAUUGUAUGUGUGUUUCAUCAAAAAUAAUACAGGGGCUAAGGCAUGGUACAGCAUUUACAUAGCGUGUAUAAGGCCCUAGAUCCAAUCCCCAGGCACACUAACACUCCACAGCCUCUACCCAAAACACACCUAACAAACUCAAAAGUUGGAUUCAUUUCAUGUAUCUGUACUCUGCACACCACCCCCUCCCCAGGGAGGGUCUCAUUCUGUAGCCCAUGCUGGCCUUGAAUUUGUAGUGAUCCUCCUGCUUGUUGGGCUGUCCUGACUCUCUAGUUGCAGGGCCUUUACAAUGCUUGGCUCUUGGCAGAUGCUGACAAAUUUGUUAGUAAAUGAAUAAUCUGGCACUUUUAAAAGUAUAGGUACAGAACUGGGCAUGGUAGUGCACUCCUGUAGUCCCAGCACUCGGGAGGCUGAGGCAAGAGAAUCGUUUGCAAGUUUGAGACCUGGCUGGGCUAAAAAGUGAGCCCAAGGCCAGCCCCAACUGCAUAGCAAGAUGAGACAAGACCCUGUCUCAAAAGAAGAACAAAUAAAAACAAUAGUAGUGACAUGUAGGAGCCGAGGUUAUAGCCCAGCAAUACAGUGCCUGCCUGGCAAGUGCAAGGUCAUGUGUUCAAUUCCCAGUAUACACACACACACACACACACACACACACACACACACACACACAAAGUAACAUGAAGUGAAAGAACAACAGGUUACAAAGUUGUACACAGGAUGAUUCAAUUUAUAAAAGAUUUAAAAAUUCGUCAGAUUGUAGCACAGCAUAUUGACAGAUAACUUGUAUCUUUUUUAUUUUUUGUAACCAGAAGUUUAAUCCAAAAAAGUCUCACAAAACACAGCUGGGAUAUAUAACUCAGCAGCAUGAGUGCCUACCGGGCAAGUGCAAGGUCCUGAGUUUGAUUCCCUGGUACAACAACAACAAAAAAAAGGUUCCAGAAAAUAUACUGCAAAAGACAGCAUGAAAAAAUCUUGACCCUCAUUGAUGUGCUUUGAAAUUUUGUUACAGUUUUUUUCUUCUUUUCUAUGUAUAUUUAAAUAAGAUGGAUCUGAAAAAAAAAGAAAAAAGUCUUGCACAGUAACUCAAAAGUUCAGCUCUACAAUGCACCCUUAACCUGGUAUUAUUCUCAGGUAGUUCUAAAAGUGGCUUUCCAGCUAAACAUUAUCAGGUUCUGGGUUCCAUGCCUCUCCUUGCAGUUGAAGAACCCAGAUUCCAGGUUUUUCUUGUCUCCAACAUAUUUGGAUAAGCAAAAACAAACAAAAAACCCAGUGAGUUUAUUCAAGAAAGUAAAAGUUAAGGCUGAGAGUAGUGGUGCACACCUGUGAGUCCAGCACUGAGGCUGAGGCGGAGGAUUACUGCAAAUUUGAGAUAGUCUGGGUUACAUAGUGAGUUCAAAGCCAUCCUGAACUACAUAGUGAAACCCUGUCACCCUAUCUCAAAGGAGAGAGAGAGAGAGAGAGAGACAGAGACAGAGACAGAGACAGAGAGAGAGAGAGAAAGAAUAAUGAGGAGAAAAUGUCUCUGCAGAGCGAGGUUGAGCUCAGUAAAAAGUAGAAAUAAAAGUACACACUGCACGUCAGAAAUGCAGCAAGCGCUACGCUGAAAAGUUACCUCAGCAAUCCGUGGCUCGCCUGUCCUUGUAUGCUGUCCAGAUCUCCAGGACACCCUGAAUUUCUGCAUCCAAGGCCCGAGAGAUGGUGCGAGGACCCACCACUCAGGCUAUCCUAUUGAAAAUCUGCUUGAGUUCUCUAGAGAAGUCCAAAGGCAAAGCUUUGACAACUUUAUAAUCAACAGAGAAAAGGAUUCGACGGCUUGUGGUUUCGCUUCUUCCUCCCUAGACAAGGAGGGAUCCGCAGCCAGAGAAGCUUCUCCUGGGAUAGUCACCUCCGGACUGCUCUGCUCACUGCUCUGCAUGGCGGUGCACAACGCUCUCCAUCCAGCUCCAGGAUCCUCAGAGUCAACCAGAGUGAAGCCAGGAGCCUUUCCUGUAGCCGCGGGCCAGCGCUGUUUGUCUCCAAGGGUCUCACUGCAUAGUUGAGGCUGGUCUUGAACUGUGUUGCCCAAGCUGGCCGAAAACUCACAGAGAUCUUCCUGCCUCAGCCUCCUGCUGGGAUUACAGGCAUGCUCUACCUCACCUGGCCCCUUCAGGAAAUACGGAGCUGCUUCUCCGGAUGCAUCACUCAGAUACCAUGGGGAAAAGGACAGAGAAAGUGCCGUUUCACACAACUGUCCCGAGGGUAGAGGCAACUGAAGAGAAGGCAAUAAAUCCAGAUAAUUCUCAAUUGUGGAUCCGAGCAAGAAAAAAGAAAUGGUGGGUGGGAGAGAUGAUGAUGACAGGGUAUGGGGCCAAGAACUCCUUCCAGGAAAAGCCCACAGCCCAGGAAAUCCUGGACUCCCUUUGCCACUCCUUUGUAAAAUUUCAUACUUUGAAACAGGGUCCCACUAAGUUGCUUAAUUGCCCAAUGAGGCUCCAAGUUUCAAUCCUCUUGCCUCACCCUCUCCGGGUGCUAGCAUUACAGCUAUGCCCCAUCACGCCCAACAAGAUGAUUAUAAUGACGUAAGCCUCUGGUUGCUACUUGGAUUGGCUGUUCCCUCCCUAAAGACAAAGAGAGGCUGCGGGCCUGGGGUUAACAGGUUAAAGGCAGAAAGCAAAAUUUGGGCUAAUCUCUAAGCAGCUUCCAGUUAAUUCCAAUCAGAACAAUGGGGGGGGGUCCCCACCUAGAGAAAAACCCUUAUGCGGACGAUAUAGGAAAUACGUUCUUUCCCUUUCUAAUGAGCUUGUGAUGUUGAAAAAGAUGAACAUGAAUGUUACAUAAACUAAACAGCACGAACCUCAUGUGUCAAGAAGAAACAAAUGGCAGGGAUUUAGCUCAAUGGCACAAGCACCUGCCUGGCAAGCUCGAGGUUGUGAGUUCGAUCCCCAGUGCCACAAAAGAAGAAGAAGAAGAAGAAGAAGAAGAAGAAGAAGGGGAAGAAACAUGUAUUCUGGACACAGCAUCACCAGAUGAAAACAAUAAAAUAAAUAAAUAAAUAGCUAACACUU
This is a long non-coding RNA of Cavia porcellus (domestic guinea pig), 4536 nucleotides long. RefSeq lists it as uncharacterized. NCBI's taxonomy places the organism in Eukaryota, Metazoa, Chordata, Mammalia, Rodentia, Caviidae. The transcript is spliced from 4 exons. The record is from RefSeq and is a predicted model, not a curated record.